AGCCUUUCGCCCUCCACAUCGCUAUUCCCCACCCCCUCCACCUUCCUCUCAUCACGCACUCUGCCCACGCACCCCACCGAUGAUGGCAAUGGAGACCAUCGAGCCUCGUGGAGAUGAUAUGGUUUCAGGACUCGCCGAACUACUCCACGGCCGUGAAUCACCAAUGAUAGGUAAAUCAGAUCCCGGCACGGCUCAUGGCAUCGACCUUCUGGCAUCAAUAGCCGCCGAUCUGGAUUUGGAACCAAGCUCCAGAUCCGAAGUGGUUCUUCCCCAUCGCCCUGAAACCGGCGGUGGCGCCGGUCAAUGUCGAUGGUAUUCCUCCGGUAACAGUCCAUCGUAAGUGCAGCCCUACAUUUUGAUUCCCCCUCCCUAUGUCAUUUAAGUUCUUAGUGCUAACCACGGCUGUUCUUAUUGGUGAUUGUCCAUGAAUCAUGGAUGCGGCGACAACGAGCGAGAGAGCUUUGGCUGAGGUGAAGGCGGGCAAUCAGUUGGAGGAGGAGGCAUGUGAAUGGCUCAAGAGUGACGCGGCAGCAUGAAGCAGCUACGUCUUGAUGACGCAAGAUGACGCGGCGGCGUCUCGCUAGUGCCAGGAGGAGGUGGGGGCGACCACUGCGCCAGAAUCCUCGUCGGCGCAAGAGUGACAUACACAUCUUCUUGGCGGCUGCGGCGGCCGCACGCGUCGGUGGCUGCUGGCAUCAUGUGCUCGUUCAUUGGAGUUUCUCUGUACGAAUUUCUCAAGGGGUGUGCAUCAAACCCAAUUAAAAAACAGUAAAAGCCACCUAUGCGAUCAUGGGGGGCGGGCAGAUUUCAUAUAAUCUGUCUCUCGCAUGAGCUAAACCUAUGAAGAUUGGCUUCUUUCGUACGGCUCUGGUAUGCAAGAUUGAAUAACUCUUAUUGCCUAUGUUCUUUCCUUUGCUAUUGCUAUCAACAAUUUAGAAUUGUUCUAGCUAAAGAACAUAAUUAGUCUAAAAUGAGUAGGAAUGGGCAGAAUAUGCUUGAUGCAUGAAUCAUGACAAAAUGGCAUUUAUUGAUCAUGCAUUCUGUUAUUUUGGAUCUUCUGGAAAUAAAAUGUCAUUGCCAAAUGUUGAUAAUUUGAGGUCUGGUUUAAUUCCUUCUAGCCAUGAACCACUUUAGGAUUUAAAGUAUGCAAUCCUAAUGCGAAUACUGUUAAACAGCAACUUGUUAUCCAUGAUCUUUUGCUCACUCAUAUUAUGUUGAAAUAUACGGAUGUUCCAUGUGUGUGUGUGUGUGUGUGUGUGUGUUUGGGGGGGGGGGGGGGGCGGGGCAAUUCUGGGUCUAUUCAGGAUUACUUUUCUGGGACUAUUUUUCCACAAGUCAAGGAUGGACCCUAUGACACGGCAUGUAUGUAUGUAGAUGGAAACUGUCAAUAUUAGUACUUUGCUUGUAGCACGGUUCUGUCUGAGUAAUUGUCGGCAUGAAUAAUUUUAACUUUAAUUUUGAUCUUUAGUUUUAAUCUGUUUCAGUACCUGAUGAAUUUACCAUCCAGUUUGCGAGGAUGUUUUAUUUGCCAAGUUUGACGUCUACUUGAUUAUGUGCGUUGAAUGCCAUUGUCAUAACAGUCAUGGGCGAUGGCGGAAGUAGGCAAAACCUUCUCCAAUGUUAGGAUGAUAUACUAACAACCUUGGCAUUUCACAGAAGUAAGCACCGAUUUACCGCUCGUGCAUGGGUCGUGAUCACACUUUGUGGGGGUACACAUCUUAGGCCUCUUCUGGUUCAUAGGAUAGGAUUAUCAUAGGAAUAGGAAUUUUGUAGGAAAUGAAAUGGCAUGUAUCUCAAAUCCUAUGAGUAGGAAUAGGAAAUGAGAUGUCAUUUGGUUGACACAAAAGGAAUUUUUCCAUUGAGUCUGGCUCAUUUUUAUUUUCCUAUGAAAUGUGGAGGAUAAGAACCAAUCCUAUAUAGGAAUAGAAAUCUAUUCCUAUGAACCAAAGGGCUCUAAAGGAAAAAAUCCUAUAAAAAUCCUAUCCUCUAAAAUUCCUAUGAAAUUUCUCCAAACCAAAACCAAAGGAGACAUUAAAAUGGAAUCCGCCACCUUGACGGCAGGGCAUUGAGACUGUCGCUGAAACAGCUUCCCUGGUGCCUCGUUUUGUGUAGAGAGAGAUACAGCCCCAUGCUCAUUAAAAGAAGAGAGAUUCUUUAUUCGUGGCACACUGUAGCAGUAUCACCUAUGGAGCUGUAAAUCGGUGCGGCAUAGACUCAGAUGUACUAGUGACGUGCACGUGAACUGGUGUGUCCGGCAAUUAUGCUGCAAACUGUCACGUGCUUCAAAGAUUCAUAUCAUGUUCCACAUCCAAGCUGUUGUUGGUACAGUAUGAAAAACAAGUUGUUAUUGGUACAAGAUCACAUCUGUUCUUGGUACAGUAAUAAAAAUGUCUGUUCUUGGUACACUAAAAAAAUGUAUGUUCUUGGUACAAGAUCACAUUGCAUCAUGAUGUUGUUCCUAGUAUGGGAGGGGGCCUCCUUUUAAGUACGUGGACAGGUGCCUGACAUUUCGACGCUACCUAUAAGAUUAACAUUUUCUUCGAAAAGGUUACUGCUAGAUUAUCAUGGGCAUUCGUGUUUCCAAGUGUCAUCAAUUUUGAUAAAAUCACAACUAAGAGUCAAUUACAUUCGUGGUGCUACAACUUGACGUAAAUGGUCAUUUUGGUGCUAUAAGUCAUGGUAUACAUUGAAGUGGUGCGUAAACUUGACAUUGACGUGCAAAUACGGUGCUUAUCUCAUUUAUAUACGGAGUCGGUGCUGACCAGGCGCAUGGGGCCCGCUGUCAGCCACUCGACCAGAGAGAAGGGACGUGUGGCCAGAUUUUUUUCAAAAGCACCCUUGAAAUAUUUUUUCACAAAAAAAUCCCUGUUGAGGCCAGAUUUUUUUCAAAAGCACCCUCGAAAUAUUUUUUCCUAAAAAAAUCCCUGUUGACGUGGGAAGAUUCUGUCACCUCUAUGAGAAGUGGGUCCCGCAUGUCACCUGAGACCGAAAACAAAAUGCCGGGAUCGAACCCACAACAAUGUCCUCACAAACAAGCUGGCAAACCACCGCACCAAUUAAGUCUUCUACGGGCAAUACGGGUAAACAUAUUAUAUGUAUUUUAAUCGCAGCGCAGGCGGAGGUUAAAUGGGCUGUACAUCUUGCGGCUUAGUUUCCACCUGUUAGUUUCUUUUAUUUUUCAGCAGAAAGUAUCUAAAUUAUAAGUUCUUAAAAAAUCUAAAUUAUAUUCUCGGUAAUAAAAAUAACGAAUGAAUAUUUGUGUUUAUAAAUAUUGUACUACCUCUGUUCACUUUUAUAAGACGUUUUAGACAUUCAGACACUGUUGAAAACAGCACAAAGCAAGCUGUCUGAAACGUCUUAUAAAAACAAACAAAGGGAGUACAUGCAAACAGAAUAAAUUAUUUUAUAAAACUUUUCACAUAUUAUUUAAAUAAUAUUUAUGAAUUAUAACAGUGUUUGCAAACUA
Long non-coding RNA from Triticum urartu, 3466 nucleotides. RefSeq lists it as uncharacterized. NCBI's taxonomy places the organism in Eukaryota, Viridiplantae, Streptophyta, Magnoliopsida, Poales, Poaceae. The record is from RefSeq and is a predicted model, not a curated record.